CUUUAUCACAACAAAGAAUGCUGAUACAUGAGAUUACAAUGAGAGAGAUCACAGAAGCAAUAAUGGAGAUGCCAAAGGAUAAAACACCUGGAGUGGAUGGAUUCCCUGUGGAAUUCUUCACUAAGAACUGGGAAAUAGUCAAGGAUGAUGUAUUUGCUGCUGCAUAUGAAUUCUUUUCCACCAACAGAAUGCCUCAAAUGAUUAAUACAAUAACUAUUGCACUUGUUCCCAAAGUUAAAGCUCCUGCAACUGUUAAAGAUUACAGGCCCAUAGCACCUCAAAUGAUUAAUACAACAGCUAUUGCACUUGUUCCCAAAGUUAAAGCUCAUGCAACUGUUAAAGAUUACAGUCUCAUAGCUUGCUGCACCACCUUAUAUAAGAUCAUAUCCAAAGUCAUUACUAAAAGAAUGAAAAGUGUGAUUGGUGAUCUAAUUGGGCAGGCUCAAUCAACUUUCAUUGAAGGAAGAAGCAUAGUUGAUAACAUUCUACUUAGCCAUGAAAUCUUCAAAGGAUAUUCAAGGAAAGGAGUGUCUCCCGGAUGUGUUUUGAAAGUGGAUCUGAGAAAGGCUUAUGACACUUUGGAAUGGAGUUUCCUUAAACAUGUUCUUAUUGAUCUAGGUUUCCCUGCUAAAUUUGUGCAAUGGAUAAUGGUAUGUUCCAUGAAAUAUUCAAAGGAUAUUCUAGGAAAGGAGUGUCUUCCAGAUGUGUUUUGAAAGUAGAUCUGAGAAAGGCUUAUGAUACUUUGGAAUGGAGUUUCCAUAAGCAGGUUCUUAUUGAUCUAGGUUUCCCUGCUAAAUUUGUGCAAUGGAUCAUGGCAUGUGUUACUACAGUCUCUUAUUCUCUAGUUCUGAAUGGUGGUUUAACAAAACCUUUCAAAGCUAAGAGGGGUAUUAGACAAGGUGACCCUAUGUCACCUUAUCUAUUUCUGAUUGCUAUGGAGUAUUUGAAUAGGGAACUGGGACAACUACACAAGAAUGGUGAUUUCAAUUUUCAUCCUAAAUGCAGGAAGUUUAACAGUAUUCAUGUACGCUUUGCUGAAUCUCUUAUUCUCUAGUUCUGAAUCGUGGUUUAACAACACCUUUCAAAGCUAAGAGGGGUAUUAGGCAAGGUGACCCUAUGUCACCUUAUCUAUUUGUGAUUGCUAUGGAGUAUUUGAAUAGGGAACUGGGACAACUACACAAGAAUGGUGAUUUUAAUUUUCAUCCUAAAUGCAGGAAAUUUAAUAGUAUUCAUGUAUGUUUUGCUGAUGACCUAUUAAUGUUCUGCAGAGCUGAUCUUAUUUCUAUUAGAAUUUUAAAG
RNAcentral lists this long non-coding RNA (1299 nucleotides) under Nicotiana benthamiana. Its description in RNAcentral is "long non-coding RNA (NBEN_LNC014354)". The record is from RNAcentral. Lineage: Eukaryota; Viridiplantae; Streptophyta; Magnoliopsida; Solanales; Solanaceae.